Molecule: ribosomal RNA, 578 nt
Filed under: Tetranychus fijiensis
Lineage: Eukaryota; Metazoa; Arthropoda; Arachnida; Trombidiformes; Tetranychidae
Description: eukaryotic LSU rRNA
Rfam family: 5.8S ribosomal RNA (bases 2-117)
Source: RNAcentral
GAGAACGCAGCUAGCUACGAUAAUCGGUGCGAAUUGCAGGACACGCCGAGCACUUGAGCUUCCAACGCACAUUGCGGCUUUCGGGUCUUUUCCGAGGUCACAUCUGUCUGAGAGUUGAGAUUCAAAAUAAUCAACAAAGCAAUUGUAUACAUAUGUAUAUGCAAUGUUUUGGGAUGCUAAGCAUUCCCUGUUUAGCAUUCAGAUGUUUAAUUCCUUUUCUUGAAUACACUUGUUAUUCUAGUAAGGAGAAUCUCAAAUCUACUUGCUGUGUACAAGUAUGAUAUUAUACACUAUACAUCUCUGCAUACAGGGUACAAUGAUUGAUACUGGCACGGGAUCCUGGGUUAGUCGCCUAUCUGACGACGCUAAAGUCGUAUUACAGAUAACUAUGGUGAUAAACUAGCCAGAGCUUAAGGGAUCUCGAUUGCACACUGCUUCCAAGCUAAAGGUUGAUAUCACUCUGUUGAAGCAGAAGCAUGUACUGUAUAUGUAGUAUUACACACAGCUUAAUAGAGUAGAUUUAAGUUUACUGAUACAUAUCAGUCAAAAAUAUCGUUGCACUUUAUUGUGUAUACGCU